This 467-nucleotide ribosomal RNA is filed under the name uncultured bacterium. RNAcentral describes it as "partial 16S ribosomal RNA". It matches the Rfam family "Bacterial small subunit ribosomal RNA", at positions 29 to 507 of the family's 1533-position model. The record is from RNAcentral.
ACGCACGCUGGCGGCGUGCUUAACCCAUGCAAGUCGAACGGAAAGGCCCUGCUUUUGUGGGGUGCUCGAGUGGCGAACGGGUGAGUAACACGUGAGUAACCUGCCCUUGACUUUGGGAUAACUUCAGGAAACUGGGGCUAAUACCGGAUAGGAGCUCCUGCUGCUUGGUGGGGGUUGGAAAGUUUCGGCGGUUGGGGAUGGACUCGCGGCUUAUCAGCUUGUUGGUGGGGUAGUGGCUUACCAAGGCUUUGCCGGGUAGCCGGCCUGAGAGGGUGACCGGCCACAUUGGGACUGAGAUACGGCCCAGACUCCUACGGGAGGCAGCAGUGGGGAAUAUUGCACAAUGGGCGGAAGCCUGAUGCAGCAACGCCGCGUGCGGGAUGACGGCCUUCGGGUUGUAAACCGCUUUCGCCUGUGACGAAGCGUGAGUGACGGUAAUGGGUAAAGAAGCACCGGCUAACUACGUG